UAACAUGAAAAUAUUAGUAUUUUGUCUUAAAUUACAUGCUUAUUUUAAAUUAAACUGAUUCUUUAAGGGUUUGCACAUCCAGCACCACUAAUUGAAGAAAAUAUUCAAGAGGAGACACAAUCUCCCAAACUAAAGAAGUUAUCCUCAAUAGCAUCAUCAGGAUAUGAAACACCUGUUGUUCACAACUUCCCAUUGCCUGAUCAGCAGAUAUCAUCCCUCUCUGUCCCGUCAGCCCUCAGUACGAGUGGCUCUCUUCCAGAUCUAUCCAGCCUCCACCUGCCUUCUCCUCUUCAUGUAGGCCAGGAUUCUGAGCCCCACAGUGGUGCGGAACAAUUGAGCAAUGCAUCCACGUACCCUGACGUUAUGGCUGGCUUUAACUUACCAG
Sinocyclocheilus grahami is the source of this 385-nucleotide long non-coding RNA. RefSeq lists it as uncharacterized. NCBI's taxonomy places the organism in Eukaryota, Metazoa, Chordata, Actinopteri, Cypriniformes, Cyprinidae. The record is from RefSeq and is a predicted model, not a curated record. The transcript has 3 exons.